RNAcentral lists this long non-coding RNA (777 nucleotides) under Anas platyrhynchos platyrhynchos (common mallard). RNAcentral's name for it is "lncRNA (ENSAPLG00000025763.1)". The record is from RNAcentral. Lineage: Eukaryota; Metazoa; Chordata; Aves; Anseriformes; Anatidae.
GUUUUUGCUUCCAGCAAGACAACGUGGUGUGUUUCCAUUGCAUGCACUGAAGCACCUGACUGAAUGAGUCCGAGUGACAGAAGUCAGGAUUGAGAACAGCCUGUGGAUCUAGCAGAUCCUCUUGAAUCUAUGUAUUACCUGAAUGAAACAUUCAAUGUCAUAAAAAAUAGCCUUUCUUUAUAUUAGUCUCCAGGGCAAUUUCUCCUAAGGUGCCUUAAUAGAAUUACUAAUACUUCAAAUCAUCCUAUACAUUCAUCAACAUCAGUGUUUUCUCAUCAGUAAAUUUACUCAUAGCUUUUACGCAGCUUUUCCCCACAUUUUUUGGCUGCUGAUAUGAGUACUCUGGGUAUGGAUGUAAUAUUCGGGAAGUUGCGUGUGUGCAGUGUGAUUGCUGAUAUCAAGUGUGCUUCCCAAAAGCACCAGAUGCGGUUCUAAAUCAAGCUGAGCCUCCGAGCUUUGGGAAGUGGCUGAUAUCACAGAGCCUCAGGAAGACUGUAAAGGUGUUGCCAAAUGGCACAUGUCCAAUUAGCUUCCUCAGUGGCAUAUUUAGGACAACUAGGGGAGACUGGUGGAUACGGGAGACUUACGGCUCACUCUUUCAGGGGUGAGAACUGAAGAGACAGUGACGAGGUAGAGUCAGAUGUUCAGUCAAAUGACUUCAAAGUAACAGGUUACCACUCAUCAAAUGAGCCAUGACAAACACUCCUGUGAGCCGUCUUAGCCAAAGGCACAAAUCAGGUGAGUUGAGACGGUUUAGUCUACCGUAGAAAAGAUUUG